Long non-coding RNA from Neoarius graeffei (lesser salmon catfish), 922 nucleotides. RefSeq lists it as uncharacterized. The transcript is spliced from 3 exons. NCBI's taxonomy places the organism in Eukaryota, Metazoa, Chordata, Actinopteri, Siluriformes, Ariidae. The record is from RefSeq and is a predicted model, not a curated record.
CAUCACUGUUACGGGAGGAGAGAAGAGAUCCUCUUCCCUCAACACAGAAUGGCUGCUUCUUAAUCAAUUAGUUUCAGCGUUUGUACCUCUCUCUCUGGAUCGAUGUCAUCCUACAGUCUCUUCUUGAGCAAGGCGUGGUGAGAUCGUGCACCAGCUCGUACAAUACACCUGUCAAUCCAGUACCUAAACCUGAUGGUACCUGGCGUUUUACACAAGAUUUACGACUCUGUGGUCUGUGUGUUCUGGUAUCUGCUGAGUCACCAGAAAUCUGCCGAGACACUGACACUUGCGCCUGCUCCAACAUCUGGCGCAUAAGGGCUUUAAGGUUUUCAGGACCAAGCUGCAAUAUUGCAUGGACACUUAAGUAUUUGAACUUUUGAAGUUUUGAACUUUCUCAAGGCUGUCAUUCUAGACACAAAACGCCCUGCAACUAAACAUGCACUGAUGUCUUUUCUGGGUCAGAAAAUGGAUCCCUGACUGCUCUUUAUAUGACAAGCUUCUCCAUUCUGCAAUCUCUCAUCACGAUCCACUGCAACAUCCUUUGACCUGGACUGACACUAUGGUGGUCGCUUAUCACUCCCUCAAAAGCACCCUUUGUUCUGCCCCUGGGGUUACCUGAUCACUUCAAGCCCUUCCACCUCUAUGCCUGUGAACACCAAGGCACAGCUGUUGGCCGGGAGCAUGGAGGGGGGGAAUGCGUCAUUGUGUGUUUUUAUCCAAAACAUUAGACAUUGUUGCUCAAGGCUUACCUGCGUGUCUGGGGGCUGUCUCUGCAUGUGCUUUGAUGGUUUUAGAUGCGGAAAAAUUGGUUUUGUCUCACCCACUGAUCUUGCACUCGUCACAUCAAGUUAAACAGGUGUUGCAAAAUUUACAGACCCAUUAAAUUAAUUUAUCAGUAAUUUAAUAGAUAAUUAAAUUAACA